This 427-nucleotide ribosomal RNA is filed under the name uncultured beta proteobacterium. RNAcentral describes it as "bacterial SSU rRNA". It matches the Rfam family "Bacterial small subunit ribosomal RNA", at positions 355 to 774 of the family's 1533-position model. The record is from RNAcentral. Lineage: Bacteria; Pseudomonadati; Pseudomonadota; Betaproteobacteria.
UGGGGAAUUUUGGACAAUGGGCGAAAGCCUGAUCCAGCCAUGCCGCGUGAGUGAAGAAGGCCUUCGGGUUGUAAAGCUCUUUUAGUCGGAAAGAAAGAGUUGCAAUGAAUAAUUGUGAUUUAUGACGGUACCGACAGAAAAAGCACCGGCUAACUACGUGCCAGCAGCCGCGGUAAUACGUAGGGUGCGAGCGUUAACCGGAAUUACUGGGCGUAAAGGGUGCGCAGGCGGUCUUGCAAGUCAGAUGUGAAAGCCCCGGGCUUAACCUGGGAAUUGCGUUUGAAACUACAAGACUAGAGUGCAGCAGAGGGGAGUGGAAUUCCAUGUGUAGCAGUGAAAUGCGUAGAGAUGUGGAAGAACACCGAUGGCGAAGGCAGCUCCCUGGGUUGACACUGACGCUCAUGCACGAAAGCGUGGGGAGCAAACA